UACGGAGGGAGCUAGCGUUGUUCGGAAUUACUGGGCGUAAAGCGCACGUAGGCGGCUUUGUAAGUUAGAGGUGAAAGCCCGGGGCUCAACCCCGGAAUUGCCUUUAAGACUGCAUCGCUUGAAUCCGGGAGAGGUGAGUGGAAUUCCGAGUGUAGAGGUGAAAUUCGUAGAUAUUCGGAAGAACACCAGUGGCGAAGGCGGCUCACUGGACCGGUAUUGACG
RNAcentral lists this ribosomal RNA (222 nucleotides) under uncultured bacterium. Its description in RNAcentral is "partial 16S ribosomal RNA". It matches the Rfam family "Bacterial small subunit ribosomal RNA", at positions 524 to 745 of the family's 1533-position model. The record is from RNAcentral.